AGUUAGAAUUAACUUAUGAAAUAAGUAAUCUCAACAAAAAAAGAAAUUGGGUCCAACCAUGUGCUAGUAACGUUACCAUGAACUCAAUGAAUUUCUCUAAACCAAUUGAUACUUCAUAAGCUUAAUUAUUUAUUUUCAGACCUAAUCUUUUUGUUGUAUGACUCUAUAGGUUUAAUUCUAUCUGAUAGUAAGACAUACAAUGAUCUCUAUUAAAAUAUCAUUGAAACUCAUUUCAAUAGAUCGGAAUAAUUUCACUCUAGCCCAGUAAGGAUUGUCGAUCCAGAACAAUCUCAGUGAGCUCUUACAAUCUACCAGUGACACCUAGCAGUAUGUAGUGGCAAUCUAGUAGAACUAAAAUGAACCUCUAGGUGUAGUUAACGUGUGAUUCAGUUCUUCUAUCAUGAGUCCAUCUAGAUAAAUCAUCAAACCUCAAUAUUAGUCAUAUGAUAGAUUCGAUUAGCUCAAGUCCAGUUGUGACUUCUAUGAAAACUCUUUUUCAUCAAUCAUACUGCUGUGGCCACAGACUCUUGGACUUAACC
This 539-nucleotide long non-coding RNA is filed under the name Elaeis guineensis (African oil palm). RNAcentral describes it as "long non-coding RNA (EGUI_LNC042363)". Lineage: Eukaryota; Viridiplantae; Streptophyta; Magnoliopsida; Arecales; Arecaceae. The record is from RNAcentral.